Molecule: unclassified non-coding RNA, 305 nt
Filed under: plant metagenome
Description: partial contains 5.8S ribosomal RNA, internal transcribed spacer 2, and large subunit ribosomal RNA
Rfam family: 5.8S ribosomal RNA (bases 1-105)
Source: RNAcentral
GAAAUGCGAUAAGUAGUGUGAAUUGCAGAAUUCAGUGAAUCAUCGAAUCUUUGAACGCACAUUGCGCCCUUUGGUAUUCCUUAGGGCAUGCCUGUACGAGCGUCAUCUAAACCUUCAAGCCCUGCUUGGUGUUGGGUGCCUGUCCCGCCUCCGCGCGCGGACUCACCUCAAAUCCAUUGGCGGCCCCCGCGUCGGCCACGAGCGCAGCAGAAACGCGAACUCGUGAGCCCGUCCGGGCGGCUCCCAGAAGCUACACCCACCCAGUUUGACCUCGGAUCAGGUAGGGAUACCCGCUGAACUUAAGC